Molecule: ribosomal RNA, 406 nt
Filed under: uncultured bacterium
Lineage: Bacteria
Description: partial 16S ribosomal RNA
Rfam family: Bacterial small subunit ribosomal RNA
Source: RNAcentral
AUUGAACGCUGGCGGCAGGCCUAACACAUGCAAGUCGAGCGAGCGGCGGACGGGUGAGUAAUGUCUGGGAAACUGCCUGAUGGAGGGGGAUAACUACUGGAAACGGUAGCUAAUACCGCAUACCAUCAGAUGUGCCCAGAUGGGAUUAGCUAGUAGGUGGGGUAACGGCUCACCUAGGCGACGAUCCCUAGCUGGUCUGAGAGGAUGACCAGCCACACUGGAACUGAGACACGGCCCAGACUCCUACGGGAGGCAGCAGUGGGGAAUAUUGCACAAUGGGCGAAAGCCUGAUACAGCCAUGCCGCGUGUAUGAAGAAGGCCUUCGGGUUGUAAAGUACUUUUAGCGGGGAGGCGGUACCCGCAGAAUAAGCACCGGCUAACUCCGUGCCAGCCGCCGCGGUAAUUC